RNAcentral lists this ribosomal RNA (112 nucleotides) under Caerostris darwini. The record is from RNAcentral. Lineage: Eukaryota; Metazoa; Arthropoda; Arachnida; Araneae; Araneidae.
AACGGCCAUACCAUGGUGAAUAUACCGGUUUUCGUUAGAUCACCGAAGUCAAGCAUCAUUGGGCGCGGUCAGUGCUUGGGUGGGUGACCACCUGGGAACACCGCGUGCCGUU